GUGGGGAAUAUUGCACAAUGGGCGCAAGCCUGAUGCAGCAACGCCGCGUGAGCGAUGAAGGUCUUCGGAUUGUAAAGCUCUGUCCUUGAGGACGAAAACUGACGGUACUCUUGGAGGAAGCCCCGGCUAACUACGUGCCAGCAGCCGCGGUAAUACGUAGGGGGCGAGCGUUAUCCGGAAUUAUUGGGCGUAAAGAGUACGUAGGUGGUUUUGUAAGCGUAGGGUGAAAGCCCGGGGCUCAACUCCGGCGAGCCCUACGAACUGCAAGACUUGAGUGCAGGAGGGGAAAGUGGAAUUCCUGGUGUAGCGGUGAAAUGCGUAGAUAUCAGGAGGAACACCGGUGGCGAAGGCGACUUUCUGGACUGUAACUGACACUGAGGUACGAAAGCGUGGGGAGCAAACAGG
This 405-nucleotide ribosomal RNA is filed under the name uncultured rumen bacterium. RNAcentral describes it as "bacterial SSU rRNA". It matches the Rfam family "Bacterial small subunit ribosomal RNA", at positions 354 to 776 of the family's 1533-position model. The record is from RNAcentral.